Molecule: transfer RNA, 84 nt
Filed under: Polyangiaceae bacterium
Lineage: Bacteria; Pseudomonadati; Myxococcota; Polyangiales; Polyangiaceae
Description: tRNA-Leu
Rfam family: tRNA
About the family: Transfer RNA (tRNA) molecules are approximately 80 nucleotides in length. Their secondary structure includes four short double-helical elements and three loops (D, anti-codon, and T loops). Further hydrogen bonds mediate the characteristic L-shaped molecular structure. tRNAs have two regions of fundamental functional importance: the anti-codon, which is responsible for specific mRNA codon recognition, and the 3' end, to which the tRNAs corresponding amino acid is attached (by aminoacyl-tRNA synthetases). tRNAs cope with the degeneracy of the genetic code in two manners: having more than one tRNA (with a specific anti-codon) for a particular amino acid; and 'wobble' base-pairing, i.e. permitting non-standard base-pairing at the 3rd anti-codon position.
Source: RNAcentral
GCCGAAGUGGCGGAAUUGGCAGACGCAGCGGAUUCAAAAUCCGCCGCCUUCACGGGCGUAUCGGUUCAAGUCCGAUCUUCGGUA